RNAcentral lists this ribosomal RNA (252 nucleotides) under uncultured Lactobacillus sp. RNAcentral's name for it is "partial 16S ribosomal RNA". It matches the Rfam family "Bacterial small subunit ribosomal RNA", at positions 111 to 354 of the family's 1533-position model. The record is from RNAcentral. Lineage: Bacteria; Bacillati; Bacillota; Bacilli; Lactobacillales; Lactobacillaceae.
UAACACGUGGGGAACCUGCCCCAUAGUCUGGGAUACCACUUGGAAACAGGUGCUAAUACCGGAUAAGAAAGCAGACCGCAUGAUCAGCUUUUAAAAGGCGGCGUAAGCUGUCGCUAUGGGAUGGCCCCGCGGUGCAUUAGCUAGUUGGUAAGGUAAAGGCUUACCAAGGCGAUGAUGCAUAGCCGAGUUGAGAGACUGAUCGGCCACAUUGGGACUGAGACACGGCCCAAACUCCUACGGGAGGCAGCAGGU